Molecule: ribosomal RNA, 666 nt
Filed under: Triticum aestivum (bread wheat)
Lineage: Eukaryota; Viridiplantae; Streptophyta; Magnoliopsida; Poales; Poaceae
Description: partial small subunit ribosomal RNA
Source: RNAcentral
AUGCAUGACGGCUUCAAGUACUUCCACUGUGAGAUCCUCCCCAAUGGCGCCGGCAGCGAUGGCCUGUCCUAUUUCUGUUUGGCAAUUGGGUGUAAAGACCAGCAGUCAGUUCUGGAUGUUUAUGUGUUACGGGAAAAUCUCUGGGCCAUCUACUCUUCGGCUGUAACUGAAAUCAAUGAAAUUGAACUGCUAUUGACCAGUUUGAUUGUUGAUGACAAGAUCUAUAAUCUGAUCCGCGUGAGCGGCAUUUUGAAGUUAGUCUCGCUAGAUCUUGCGUCGUCAUGCUUGUCGCUGGUUAACCUCCCGGAAGAGGUGGAUUAUCUUCGCAUCUGGCACUACAUAGUGGAUAAGAAGGGUCCCGCCAAUUGGUUACUUGUUGAUACCAUUUGUUUGCGCGAGAUAUGUGUUAAUCAUAUGAUAUCAAUUAGAAUGUUCGAGGAUGUGGGUAAUUCUGCUCUUAUUGUACAUGCGGUUGGGGUCAAUCCUGGGUUUCUUUUCUUGGAGACGGAUGGUGUCCUCUACCUGUUUGAUCUUGAACGCAAGGCGGCAAAGAAGGUUUAUGAGGUUACACAAGAGUAUAUAUACUUAUAUAGAGUCACUCCCUUCAUGAUGGUUUGGCCUCCUAAAUUCCCUGUGAUGAAGGAAGGGUGUGAUCCAAAAGAAUGA